This 502-nucleotide ribosomal RNA is filed under the name Salmonella enterica subsp. enterica serovar Adelaide. RNAcentral's name for it is "bacterial SSU rRNA". It matches the Rfam family "Bacterial small subunit ribosomal RNA", at positions 1 to 492 of the family's 1533-position model. Lineage: Bacteria; Pseudomonadati; Pseudomonadota; Gammaproteobacteria; Enterobacterales; Enterobacteriaceae. The record is from RNAcentral.
AAAUUGAAGAGUUUGAUCAUGGCUCAGAUUGAACGCUGGCGGCAGGCCUAACACAUGCAAGUCGAACGGUAACAGGAAGCAGCUUGCUGUUUCGCUGACGAGUGGCGGACGGGUGAGUAAUGUCUGGGAAACUGCCUGAUGGAGGGGGAUAACUACUGGAAACGGUGGCUAAUACCGCAUAACGUCGCAAGACCAAAGAGGGGGACCUUCGGGCCUCUUGCCAUCAGAUGUGCCCAGAUGGGAUUAGCUUGUUGGUGAGGUAACGGCUCACCAAGGCGACGAUCCCUAGCUGGUCUGAGAGGAUGACCAGCCACACUGGAACUGAGACACGGUCCAGACUCCUACGGGAGGCAGCAGUGGGGAAUAUUGCACAAUGGGCGCAAGCCUGAUGCAGCCAUGCCGCGUGUAUGAAGAAGGCCUUCGGGUUGUAAAGUACUUUCAGCGGGGAGGAAGGUGUUGUGGUUAAUAACCACAGCAAUUGACGUUACCCGCAGAAGAAGCA